AAUAUUUGACAAUGGGGGCAACCCUGAUCCAGCCAUGCCGCGUGUGUGAAGAAGGUCUUCGGAUUGUAAAGCACUUUAAGUUGGGCGGAAGGGCAGUAGGUUAAUACCUUGAAGUUGUGACGUUACUAACAGAAAAAGCACCGGCUAACUCUGUGCCAGCAGCCGCGGUAAUACAGGGGGUGCAACCUUUAAUCGGAAUGACUGGGCGUAAAGCGGGCGUAGGUUGUUCAGUAAUAUGAGUGUGAAGUCCCCGGGCUUAACCUGGGCACUGCUUUCAUAACUGCUGAGCUAGAGUACGGUAGAGGGUAGUGGAAUUUCCUGUGUAGCGGUGAAAUGCGUAGAUAUAGGAAGGAACACCAGUGGCGAAGGCGACUACCUGGACUGAUACUGACACUGAGGUGCGAAAGCAUGGGGAGCAAA
Molecule: ribosomal RNA, 420 nt
Filed under: uncultured bacterium
Lineage: Bacteria
Description: partial 16S ribosomal RNA
Rfam family: Bacterial small subunit ribosomal RNA
Source: RNAcentral